This 77-nucleotide transfer RNA is filed under the name Rhodospirillaceae bacterium. Its description in RNAcentral is "tRNA-Arg". It matches the Rfam family "tRNA". From Rfam's summary of the family: Transfer RNA (tRNA) molecules are approximately 80 nucleotides in length. Their secondary structure includes four short double-helical elements and three loops (D, anti-codon, and T loops). The record is from RNAcentral. Lineage: Bacteria; Pseudomonadati; Pseudomonadota; Alphaproteobacteria; Rhodospirillales; Rhodospirillaceae.
GGCCCCGUAGCUCAGCCGGAUAGAGCGACAGAUUCCUAAUCUGUAGGUCAGUGGUUCGAAUCCACUCGGGGUCGCCA